AAUAUUGCACAAUGGGCGCAAGCCUGAUGCAGCAACGCCGCGUGCGCGACGAAGGCCUUCGGGUCGUAAAGCGCUUUUCGGGGAGAUGAGUAGGGACAGUAUCCCCCGAAGAACGAUCGGCUGACUACGUGCCAGAAGCCGCGGUAAAACGUAGGAUCCCAGCGUCAGCCGAAUUUACUGGGCGUAAAGCGCAUGCAGGCGGCCGCCAAAGCUAGAUGUGAAAUCCCCCGGCUCAACUGGGGGGGGGCGUUCAAAACUGUGCAGCUCGAGUGCGGUAGAGGAAGGUAGAAUUCCCGGUGUAGUAGUGAAAUGCGUAGAUAUCGGGAGGAAUACCCGUGGCGAAGGCGACCUUCUGGACCGUUUCUGACGCUCAGAUGCGAAAGCUUGGGGAGCGAACGGG
RNAcentral lists this ribosomal RNA (400 nucleotides) under uncultured bacterium. RNAcentral's name for it is "partial 16S ribosomal RNA". It matches the Rfam family "Bacterial small subunit ribosomal RNA", at positions 360 to 776 of the family's 1533-position model. The record is from RNAcentral.